Long non-coding RNA from Arachis duranensis, 693 nucleotides. RefSeq lists it as uncharacterized. The transcript has 3 exons. NCBI's taxonomy places the organism in Eukaryota, Viridiplantae, Streptophyta, Magnoliopsida, Fabales, Fabaceae. The record is from RefSeq and is a predicted model, not a curated record.
ACUAAAAUUGUUAAAUUUACAAUUAUACUCUUAAAUUUUGUAUGCAACCCUAAUCCCAAAUCCAGAUUUCAGUUUUUCAGAAAUGUCAUCGUAACCCACCCCAGACCUCUUCUUGUCUCCUCUCCCCAAAUAUUUCGGUCUUCUCCGUCGCCGGCAGAAAAGCCGAAUACUACCGAGCAACAACAGCGCGCCUGUCUCCAGUGGUUCACAAUCGCGUCUUGAAGCCUCCAACGGUCCUCUCAUUGUUGCGGAUUGCGUGCUUCCGGGUCUGCGCCGCCACCAUCGCCAUCGUUUUGGAGCUGUGCCUCUUGUCUCUCAACGAACCAGGUCUUCAAGUCUUGGAGUAUUUAUUUGCAUCUAAUGUUCGGGCAUACAUAGAAGUCUAGGAGUCCACUUAUGGAAGGAAGCUGUGAAUGUAUGACUUGAAGUUGCAGAUGGUUUAGAUAGGCAGGUCCAAGUGUCCAACAUGCUGAAGUUGCAGAUGAUCGAUCUUGUCAUUUGAAUUCCAGUUUGAAGUCGAUUGACUGAGUUGAAAAUCUGUAUAAUGAUGUAUUUUUGAAAUUGUUAGCAGUCUUUCAAUUUUUUAUUUCUGUAGUCUGUAUUGUCCUGGUCAUAGUAUUAUUAUUUAAGUUGUAGUUUGACACUUGAAUUGAAACAGGCAAAUGACAAAUUGUAUAAAUUAGUUUGAGUAUA